This 501-nucleotide ribosomal RNA is filed under the name uncultured bacterium. Its description in RNAcentral is "bacterial SSU rRNA". It matches the Rfam family "Bacterial small subunit ribosomal RNA", at positions 25 to 518 of the family's 1533-position model. The record is from RNAcentral.
CAGGAUGAACGCUAGCGGCAGGCUUAACACAUGCAAGUCGAGGGGCAGCGGGAUGUAGCAAUACAUUGCCGGCGACCGGCGGAUGGGUGCGUAACGCGUAUGCAACCUACCUUAUACAGGGGAAUAACCUUUCGAAAGGGAGACUAACACCCCAUAGUAUUGAUUUAAGGCAUCUUAGAUUAAUUAAAUAUUUAUAGGUAUAAGAUGGGCAUGCGUAUGAUUAGCUAGUUGGUAAGGUAACGGCUUACCAAGGCGACGAUCAUUAGGGGUUCUGAGAGGAAGGUCCCCCACACUGGUACUGAGACACGGACCAGACUCCUACGGGAGGCAGCAGUGAGGAAUAUUGGUCAAUGGGCGCAAGCCUGAACCAGCCAUGCCGCGUGCAGGAAAGACGGCCUUAUGGGUUGUAAACUGCUUUUACAUAAGACUAACCGUAUAUUUGCGAAUAUACCUGAAUGUAUUAUGAGAAUAAGGAUCGGCUAACUCCGUGCCAGCAGCGGC